UACGGAGGGGGCGAGCGUUAUUCGGAAUUAUUGGGCGUAAAGGGCGCGUAGGCGGCCCGAUAAGUCAAAGGUGAAAUCCCUCGGCUCAACUGAGGAACUGCCUUUGAAACUGUCGGGCUUGAGGCCGGGAGGGGGUAGCGGAAUUCCCAGUGUAGCGGUGAAAUGCGUAGAUAUUGGGAGGAACACCAGUGGCGAAGGCGGCUACCUGGACCGGUUCUGACGCUGAUGCGCGAAAGCGUGGGUAGCAAACAGG
Molecule: ribosomal RNA, 253 nt
Filed under: uncultured bacterium
Lineage: Bacteria
Description: partial 16S ribosomal RNA
Rfam family: Bacterial small subunit ribosomal RNA
Source: RNAcentral